UGAAAGAGACUCAAUUGCCAUGCGCUCUGUGGGUGUUUUCAAAGUAGGGUUUUUAAUUGGAGCUUCUCUGACUUUUUGCAUGAUCACUGGUCACUAUAACCCUUGACUAAGACUGAUGAUUAAUGGCUCUUGGUGUAUUCUACUUCUCUUCAUGUUACGGUGUUUGACUACGAAUCUACUUUAAACUGCUACAAAAAUCAACCUUCUUUGCUCUUGAAUUGAAAAAAAAACAAUGCCUCCAAAGGUCAUCAACUUCGUUCAAAGAGAUUUUACAAGGUUGUCCAUGGCUGGAAACAGUGUCUCUUCGGAAAGUUGUUGUAUACAUCUUUGAAAUGCUGCUCUGAGUGCUUUUGACUCAAAUAUGUCCCUUAUAGUCUUGUGGCCUUGGAUUUCCAUGACUGGGCUUUCAAUAGUGAAUAUGGAAGCUCCUUCACUAUUUGGACUGCUAUUGAUGCUUUGAUUUCUUAUUC
Long non-coding RNA from Cryptomeria japonica (Japanese cedar), 470 nucleotides. RefSeq lists it as uncharacterized. NCBI's taxonomy places the organism in Eukaryota, Viridiplantae, Streptophyta, Pinopsida, Cupressales, Cupressaceae. The record is from RefSeq and is a predicted model, not a curated record. The transcript is spliced from 2 exons.